Molecule: non-coding RNA, 1176 nt
Organism: Elaeis guineensis (African oil palm)
Lineage: Eukaryota; Viridiplantae; Streptophyta; Magnoliopsida; Arecales; Arecaceae
Source: RefSeq, a predicted model, not a curated record
UAAUUUUUUACAUUUAAUUUGCUUUAAGUUUUUAUCAUAUAUAAAUAACUGAUUUUAAGCUUUUAUUUUACUACAGCUGAUACUUUGAUUAGACGGACUCGUAGAGCCACCAAAAAUGAAAAGUUGGAGGAGUGGAGGAGGGCACAUCCCGAGGAGAGGAUGAUGGUUGUCAUCUCAUCGGACUAUGUCAUGUCACUUUAGUGCCACAUUAGGGAUCGAUACAUAUGCGAGGUUGGCAUCAUUGUCUGAGCAUAUGCUCUCCUAAGGAUAUUCGACUGGCAGAGUGUUUCGAGGCCACAGAAGUAGAUCCUCAACCAUUUAUAGUAUGAUUUUGAUAUCAAGGAGAUUGAUACCCCACGCAUGUGGGAGGCUAUCCUUAGGUAUAUAGAGAGAUUGCUAAAGGGAUUUAGAUAUGAGCUCCAUAGCUAUUGGAAGGAGGUAUUCAGUGCACUUGGGGUGGCGACGGCACGUGAGACACCCCACAGGAAUGUUUCACGCUUCGAUUGGGAUCUCCUCUGCAAUAAGUAUGAGGAUCCUACAUAUCGGGCCUUUUGCGAAAAGAAUACAGCAAACCGAUCGAGGCUCACGGUGAUGUAUUGUGAUAGAUCGAAGUUAUUUAUGUAGCAUUAGUAUGAGCUGGUAAGUACACAUAUAUAUAUCUCUAAUAAUGUUUUAAAAUAUGUGUGUCUGUGUACUUAUAUUCAUAAAUUUUAGAGGAACAUCGAGAUAGGAUAGCUAUCUGGGUGGAUUGACAUCUACCAGAAGAUCCAUCAUCGGGGGACGUGAGAAUGGCUUCCUGGGAUUAGGAAGAGAGGAUGAUGCAUAUACAAUCCCAGCCUAUCACUGAGGGCUCCAUCCCGCCCACAGAUAAUGAUAUUUGUGAUGAGGUGCUUGGUAGGAGAUCCAGUUAUAUUAUGGGGCUGGAAUAUAUGGUUGUGGCUCCUAGCUCCUCUAGAGCACCACAUGUUUCUUGUGAUGCUCAUUUGUGUGAGGCAGAUGCUCGACUGCAUGAGACAGAGAAGAGAUAUGAGAAGGAGAUGUAUCGAGCUAAGGAGGAGCACCGUAAAUCUCAGGAGGAUAUAACGGCCCUACAGCAUGACAAUGUUAAGCUUAGAUCUCAGAUUGCAACAGUUGGAGUGAAGCUCGAUGAGUUAUAUCACCGUAUGUCUCCUCCAU